Molecule: ribosomal RNA, 497 nt
Filed under: uncultured bacterium
Lineage: Bacteria
Description: partial 16S ribosomal RNA
Rfam family: Bacterial small subunit ribosomal RNA
Source: RNAcentral
GAUGAACGCUGGCGGCGUGCCUAAUACAUGCAAGUCGAGCGAACGGACUAGAAGCUUGCUUCUCUGAUGUUAGCGGCGGACGGGUGAGUAACACGUGGAUAACCUACCUAUAAGACUGGGAUAACUUCGGGAAACCUGAGCUAAUACCGGAUAAUAUUUUGAACCGCAUGGUUCAAAAGUGAAAGACGGUCUUGCUGUCACUUAUAGAUGGAUCCGCGCUGCAUUAGCUAGUUGGUAAGGUAACGGCUUACCAAGGCAACGAUGCAUAGCCGACCUGAGAGGGUGAUCGGCCACACGGGAACUGAGACACGGUCCAGACUCCUACGGGAGGCAGCAGUAGGGAAUCCUCCGCAAUGGACGAAAGCCGGACGGAGCAACGCCGCGUGAGUGAUGAAGGACUUCGGAUCGUAAAACUAUGUUAUUAGGGAAGAACAUAUGUGUAAGUAACUGUGAACAUAUUGACGGUACCUAAUCAGAAAGCCACGGCUAACUACGUG